UUUUUUAUCUUUUCAAAGCCAGAUUUAUUUGACAAAUUCCUUAGAAUUAACCAGGGGAAAUAGCAAUUCAACAUGACGUCAUCAGAAACCUUAUAUUUUUCAGAGUGAUGUUACACAGACAAGAAUUUAAGUGAAUGAAACAGCAUCACUUCUUAAAGUAGCAUGGAAUUUUUAUCACAGAAAUAAUCCAGCAGUUUCCAGAUUAUGAAUUUCACCAUGUUAAUGAGUUUUACAAGCA
Molecule: long non-coding RNA, 238 nt
Organism: Mytilus trossulus (common blue mussel)
Lineage: Eukaryota; Metazoa; Mollusca; Bivalvia; Mytilida; Mytilidae
Exons: 2
Source: RefSeq, a predicted model, not a curated record